UGGGGAAUUUUGGACAAUGGACGCAAGUCUGAUCCAGCCAUGCCGCGUGCGGGAAGAAGGCCUUCGGGUUGUAAACCGCUUUUGUCAGGGAAGAAACGAGUUUCUCUAAUACAGAGACUUAAUGACGGUACCUGAAGAAUAAGCACCGGCUAACUACGUGCCAGCAGCCGCGGUAAUACGUAGGGUGCAAGCGUUAAUCGGAAUUACUGGGCGUAAAGCGUGCGCAGGCGGUUGUGCAAGACAGAGGUGAAAUCCCCGGGCUCAACCUGGGAACUGCAUCCAAAACUGGCAAGCUAGAGUAUGGUAGAGGGUGGUGGAAUUUCCUGUGUAGCGGUGAAAUGCGUAGAUAUGCGGAGGAACACCGAUGGCGAAGGCAAUCCCCUGGACCUGUACUGACGCUCAUGCACGAAAGCGUGGGGAGCAAACA
RNAcentral lists this ribosomal RNA (427 nucleotides) under uncultured bacterium. RNAcentral's name for it is "bacterial SSU rRNA". It matches the Rfam family "Bacterial small subunit ribosomal RNA", at positions 355 to 774 of the family's 1533-position model. The record is from RNAcentral.